Long non-coding RNA from Bombus impatiens (common eastern bumble bee), 1134 nucleotides. RefSeq lists it as uncharacterized. The record is from RefSeq and is a predicted model, not a curated record. The transcript is spliced from 4 exons. Lineage: Eukaryota; Metazoa; Arthropoda; Insecta; Hymenoptera; Apidae.
UUCAGACUGUUCAGAUAAUAUCGUUAAUCGAACGAAGAGAGCCUGAUAUAUUAUAGUGGAAUUAUUAACAUAGAUGUACAUGCUUGCGAAAGUAUUCAAACACAAGCCAUGGAAAACUUUCGUGUAUACAGGAACGUAACGAAUAAAUAUAGAAAGAUGAAUUGUUUGUUAAGAAGAAAUUAUCAUGGUAGAGGAACGAACGUUUCAUUUCAUAAAUUAGUAGCAGGACGAAGUGCAUCUUCAUCGAAGUAUAAUUAACGAUAAAUAGGGAAAUGAACCGUUCUAUUCAGAAAAUUGGUGUCGUCCGCGUCCUCUAUGGUUGUCUGUUCGUUUAAGUCAGGGUCGUCAUAAGUAUUCAAAAUGAUUUCCCUCCGUUUGGCUGCACAUUGCGGCGUGUCUGACUAUGCUUGCUUGCACAUCCCACGGCAUAUUGACAUCGAAGGUGGCAACGGCAGCCUGGAUACUGGUGACGCGCCAUCAACGAGACCGCUGAAGAGGGUAUGCAGUUGACGCAUCCCUCGGUCCCCUAAAUCCUCGAAUAAAUCGUCCAGAAGUUAAAGGAAUUGUCUCAUCAGCGCGCGUGCGUACGUGCGUGCGUGUGUGCGCCAGUUGUGUUCGCUGGUUGCAUGCGAAGAGAGCGGGGAAGAGCCUGUAAAGAGUACGGACUUCGAAGAGAGAUGUUCCGACCGGACACGUGACAUGUGAGCCGUAUAACGAGCAGAGAACAAAAAUAUUUCCAGACAUACGCAGGGAUAGAAACGAUAGAGCACGCGCAAGAGAGAGAGAGAGAGAGAGAGAGAAGGAGAGCGGGAGGAAGAAAGGGGGAGGGAGAGGGAGGAAGCAGGACAAAAGGAGGAGGGAGACGGAAAAUAGUAAAGGAAGUACUUUUUCGCUGGAAAAGAAGCCAACUCGAAGAGCAAAUGAGAAAACGAAGCCUGAAGGGUAUUGCUUCUACGAGAACCGAAAUACGUUUAAAACACGAGCACAAAAAGAGGAGGAGGAUGAGUUAAAAGCUCGAGAACGAGCCUGACAGGAAGGGACAGCCUCAAAAGAAUUCUAAACUGAUAAAACUAGCUGGUAAAAAAAAAAAAAAAAUAAGGAAAUUUUAUAUGUAAAAUAAAUUGCUUUAAGUAG